AAGUAGAGUGGCGAACGGGUGAGUAAUACAUCGGAACAUUUCCAGUAGCGGGGGAUAACCUGUCGAAAGAUAGGCUAAUACCGCAUACGACCUACGGGUGAAAGCGGAGGACCGCAAGGCUUCGCACUAUUGGAGUGGCCGAUGUCGGAUUAGCUAGUUGGCGGGGUAAAAGCCCACCAAGGCUACGAUCCGUAGCUGGUCUGAGAGGACGAUCAGCCACACUGGAACUGAGACACGGUCCAGACUCC
This 248-nucleotide ribosomal RNA is filed under the name uncultured bacterium. Its description in RNAcentral is "partial 16S ribosomal RNA". It matches the Rfam family "Bacterial small subunit ribosomal RNA", at positions 88 to 339 of the family's 1533-position model. The record is from RNAcentral.